UCACUGGCCAAGGAGAAUCAAAGAGCUAGAUGCUGAGAAUAAUGCAGCCAUAACGUGAAAUCUUUUUGAGACCACUCACUCUGGGAGAAAGCAACUGGCUAUGUCAUGAGGAAAUUGAAACCACCUAUGGAGAAAGGCCCACAUGGUGAGAAAGUAAAGCCUCUUCCCAAUACCAAAAUUCUGUAAGUCUGCUACGGUGACAUUUCUGGUUAGGAGUCAGAGUGGAUGGGACACUGAGCAAUAAGAAUGCAGAGACAUGAUGGCUGAAGCUGGAGCUUUUCCCUGAAGCAACCACCUGUUGGAAACUUCAUGUUGAAGAUGACUGAAUAAUAAGACAGAGGGGUCUGGGUCCCUGGUGGAUAUUCCAGAUCUGGGUGUUCGUGGAGAUAUGAGAAAGCAAUAAACUUCAAUUUUGCUUAAAU
This 422-nucleotide long non-coding RNA is filed under the name Homo sapiens (human). RNAcentral's name for it is "novel transcript, antisense to SLC38A11 and SCN3A". Lineage: Eukaryota; Metazoa; Chordata; Mammalia; Primates; Hominidae. The record is from RNAcentral.